AGUUGGAAUUGCUAGUAGUCGCGAAUCAGAAUGUCGCGGUGAAUACGUUCCCGGGCCUUGUACACACCGCCCGUCACACCAUGAGAGUCGAUAACACCCGAAGCCUGUGAGCUAACCGCAAGGAGGCAGCAGUCGAAGGUGGGGUUGAUGAUUGGGGUGAAGUCGUAACAAGGUAAC
RNAcentral lists this ribosomal RNA (177 nucleotides) under uncultured bacterium. Its description in RNAcentral is "partial 16S ribosomal RNA". It matches the Rfam family "Bacterial small subunit ribosomal RNA", at positions 1324 to 1500 of the family's 1533-position model. The record is from RNAcentral.